CUUGGCACACACCCACCCACAACCCACACAGCCCCGGGCCCCACCCACGAUGCACACACACCCACGCCCAACCCACGCACACACACCCACGUUGGAUCCCAUCUCUCUUGUCUUCCUCGAUCCCCUUUCUCCACCCCACGCCGCCGCCAGAUUCCGGCAAUCCCCGUGGUUCCCCACCACCUAGCUCUCCUCCUCGAGGUCACCUCUCCCCGCUCACCAUCUCCACUGACCGGUUUCUCUCCUCGCCCAGGAGAGCCAUGCCCAGGCACUGGUGGUGGUGCGCUGCGAGGAGGUCCCAGCGGCGUCGAGCUGCUAUUGCUGCAGGCACAGCGACGUCGGCGUGGUCAGGAUGGUUGCAGCCCUUCAAGAUUCUCAAUGGCGGCGUCUCAGCGCUGAUGGCGGAGUCGACGGUGAGCAUCGGCGGGUACAUGGCGUCGGGGUACCGGAGGGUGGCUGGCGUGCAGCUCUACAUCAACCACCUCAAGCCCGCCCGCCUCGGUGACCGCAUCGAGGCCAAGGUGAACCCCAUCCGGUACCUCGACCCUGACACGUACUUGGACAAGGACCAGCUGCUGGACGCGGUGCAUUGGAUCCGACAGGCGGUGGGGCUCGCCUGUGGCCUGCUCUAGGGCGCCGUCCCCCUCGUCGGUGCCUUCUAGAUCCUCCCGUCAGUCCCUCCCUCCCUUCAUCCUCAAAGCCCCAACCUUCUUCUUUCCCUUCAGACAUAGGCAUAGAUUCAGGUUCAUUGUUAACUGAAUUCGUAAGCUCAUCUCACACUGAAUUUGGGACCUCUUUCCCAUCGUGUAGUAUAGUACUAGCAAGUCGGUCACACAUGAAUUAGUAGAUGAGUCUAGCGAUUCUGUUAACUGAAUUAUUUUAGAAACCCGCUUUGUUUUGCCUUUCAUUGAUCACCGCGACAGGUCAGAGGAGGUGAAGUGAGUGUUAGAUUCGCUGCGAAUUGGAGGUUCGUUAGCCUCGUCUCUGAGCACUCGUCACCAGCUCAGCAACAAGCAUCGCAGUGGUUAUGCGCUUUCUCUGGUAUUAGAUGUGAUAUGAGCUGUUCAAUCAGCUCUUUGUUUGGCGUGGCCGUCAGCAAACCAGCAAACCAACGCAAUUGCCGCAUAUAUGUAGUGGGAUAUGAACUGCUCUUAGUUUCUCUGUGCUCACUAUUAGUUCAAUAAAUUGACAAAUGGCUGCUGAUGUAUGAUUGACUGGCUUUGUUCAUCUUGCUAGAGUUACUUGGAAAUAUUGACAUUCUCAAACCAAAUAUGAGGUGCCCUUUAUUCACUCCAUGGGAGUAUAUGUAAGUUGACUGCUUCAAACCCAAUCCUUGCUUGCUGUUUAGUGAAUAAAUAUGCUCGUAGAAAAUUGCAAACUUCGUAAUAUGAAUAAAUAUUUGAUGGUAAGUAGCGAUGAAGAUUAAAAUUGUAUUCGCCCACAAAAAAGAAGAUUAACAUUUUAUUACAUACACUAAUCUAUCUAGCACCAAUGUCACGCAGUCAAUUUCCUUUAUCCUUAGCAUUUUUAUGACAUACCUUCUUCUAUUUAGAAUCUUUGGUUGCAAUCAGUUCUUUUUUCCGCAAAAAAUGAAAUUAGUUUCUUUUACUUUUAGCAUAUGUACUUAACAACUGAGGUGCCAGUGAAAAAGUAAAUUUAUUUUUAUUUAGUAUUUGGUGGAUCCACUGUUUUUAUAGGUUUCGACAUUGCUGCCUCCAUAUAGCCUUUUGCUGAUAUGUGUUGAUGGUUUGAUGUGUCGCUCCUAGUCCAAAUGUUAUUUUUUUAUUGGACCUUCCUUUUUGACCGGAUAUUUUUUAUAUACGUGACUGAUCCGUAAUCCAGCUGAACUUUCUUUUCAUGUACAUGACGGAGUUUGCAUCCAUAUAUUAUUGUACGUGUCGGAUGAUAGACUUGUACAUUUAAUUAUGGUGCAUGUCUUCGAAUAUACUCCCGUUAUGCAUGUUUUUAGACUUAUUUUAAUAUUAUUGCUGUUAUUACGUGCGUAGUGUCGUGGAGAUGAAAUAGCAUGCUUGUGUACUAAUUGACUAUAUGCUAGCCUGGCUUGCCAUUGGAAGGUGGCGUAUGGACUAAGACUCCUUUUUCUUAAGCUGGCCAUGUGAUUCCUUUUGCCUAUAAGCUGGCCAUGCCUUUGGCCGUGUGGACUCUGUAUGCCUUUACGCCGCCAUCAAGUAGAGAUGGAGUAGGAGGACGAGCAGCGACAGCAAAUCAGUCUGAUGAUGACAGGGUGCGGGAGGCAAUGGUGAUCAUGCUGAUGGCAUGAAGAAGGCUGAUGACCACAACCUGGACCUGUUGGCAUUUCGAGAUGGCAAACAUAGGCGGCGUGGAGACAACAACCUGGACCACCCACCUCCCUUGCCUUCUUAAUUUUGGUUGUGGUGGUUGCAUCACCGGCGCGGUCGCAAAUCAGUAUGUAGUGUGCUUGUGGUGUUGGGUCUGGACUGCAGUGUCCAUCCAGUAGGUUAGGUGCUGUUGCUGCUAGAUCCCAUGAUGCUCACCUAAGUUUUGUGUUAUGUGGAGGCCAACCUUUGUGAUCUUAUUCGUCGACACUUGUGUGAUCUCAUCUUACUUUGUGAUACAAGUCGUAUGAUAUAUAUGUUUUUAUGGAUGAUCU
Molecule: RNA transcript, 2629 nt
Organism: Triticum aestivum (bread wheat)
Lineage: Eukaryota; Viridiplantae; Streptophyta; Magnoliopsida; Poales; Poaceae
Exons: 3
Source: RefSeq, a predicted model, not a curated record